AAUGGGCGAAAGCCUGAUGCAGCGACGCCGCGUGAGUGAAGAAGGCCUUCGGGUUGUAAAGCUCUUUGAGCGGGGAAAACAAAAAUGAUUGUACCCGCAGAACAAGCACCGGCUAACUCCGUGCCAGCAGCCGCGGUAAUACGGAGGGUGCAAGCGUUACUCGGAAUUACUGGGCGUAAAGCGCGUGUAGGUGGUUUUGUAAGUCUGGUGUGAAAUCCCGGGGCUCAACCCCGGAAGUGCAUUGGAUACUGCAAGACUAGAGUGCAGGAGAGGAUGGCGGAAUUCCAGGUGUAGAGGUGAAAUUCGUAGAUAUCUGGAGGAACAUCGGAGGCGAAGGCGGCCAUCUGGACUGCAACUGACACUGAGACGCGAAAGCGUGGGGAGCAAA
This 388-nucleotide ribosomal RNA is filed under the name uncultured bacterium. RNAcentral's name for it is "bacterial SSU rRNA". It matches the Rfam family "Bacterial small subunit ribosomal RNA", at positions 370 to 772 of the family's 1533-position model. The record is from RNAcentral.